Molecule: ribosomal RNA, 494 nt
Filed under: uncultured bacterium
Lineage: Bacteria
Description: partial 16S ribosomal RNA
Rfam family: Bacterial small subunit ribosomal RNA
Source: RNAcentral
GACGAACGCUGGCGGCGUGCUUAACACAUGCAAGUCGAACGGUGAAGCGCCUUCCUUUUUGGUGGGUGUGGAUGAGUGGCGAACGGGUGAGUAACACGUGAGUAACCUGCCCCCUUCUUCUGGAUAACCGCAUGAAAGUGUGGCUAAUACGGGAUAUUCUGGGUCUGUCGCAUGAUGGGUCUGGGAAAGAUAUUGUUUCGGUGGGGGAUGGGCUCGCGGCCUAUCAGCUUGUUGGUGGGGGGAUGGCCUACCAAGGCGGUGACGGGUAGCCGGCCUGAGAGGGUGGACGGUAACACGGGGACUGAGACACGGCCCAGACUCCUACGGGAGGCAGCAGGGGGGAAUAUUGCACAAUGGGCGCAAGCCUGAUGCAGCGACGCCGCGUGAGGGAUGGAGGCCUUCGGGUUGUGAACCUCUUUCGCCAGUGAAGCAGGCCUGCCUCGUUUGUGGGUGGGUUGACGGUAGCUGGAUAAGAAGCGCCGGCUAACUACGUG